UGCCUCAGUAACGGCGAGUGAAGCGGCAACAGCUCAAAUUUGAAAUCUGGCCUCUUCGGGGUCCGAGUUGUAAUUUGUAGAGGGUGUUUCGGGCGCGAUGCCGGUCUAAGUUCUUUGGAACAGGACGUCGUAGAGGGUGAGAAUCCCGUAUGCGACCGGCGAUCAAGCCUGUGUGAAGCCCCUUCGACGAGUCGAGUUGUUUGGGAAUGCAGCUCAAAAUGGGUGGUAAAUUUCAUCUAAAGCUAAAUAUUGGCCAGAGACCGAUAGCGGACAAGUAGAGUGAUCGAAAGAUGAAAAGCACUUUGGAAAGAGAGUCAAACAGUACGUGAAAUUGUUGAAAGGGAAGCGCUUGCAAUCAGACCGGUCCGGAGGCGAUCAGCCGCUGCUCGUCAGCGGUGCACUCGCCUGCGAUCCGGCCAGCAUCGGUUUGGGCGGCGGGAGAAAAGGCCGGGGAAUGUAGCUUCUUUCGGGGAGUCUUAUAGCCCGGGUCGCAAUGCCGCCCGCCCGGACCGAGGACCGCGCUUCGGCUAGGAUGCUGGCGUAAUGGUUGCAAGCGACCCGUCUUGAAACACGGACCAAGGAGUCUAACAUCUAUGCGAGUGUUUGGGUGUCAAACCCAGGCGCGGAAUGAAAGUGAACGGAGGUGGGAACCCGUCAGACGGCGCACCAUCGACCGAUCCAGAUGUCUUCGGAUGGAUUUGAGUAUGAGCAUAGCUGUUGGGACCCGAAAGAUGGUGAACUAUGCCCGGAUAGGGUGAAGCCAGAGGAAACUCUGGUGGAGGCUCGCAGCGGUUCUGACGUGCAAAUCGAUCGUCAAAUCUAGGCAUAGGGGCGAAAGACCAAUCGAACCAUCUAGUAGCUGGUUCCUGUCGAAGUUUCCCUCAGGAUAGCAGUAACGUUUUCAGUUUUAUGAGGUAAAGCGAAUGAUUAGAGGCCUUGGGGCUGAAACAGCCUUAACCUAUUCUCAAACUUUAAAUAUGUAAGAAGUCCUUGUUACUUAGUUGAACGUGGACAUUUGAAUGCACCGUUACUAGUGGGCCAUUUUUGGUAAGCAGAACGGCGAUGCGGGAUGAACCGAACGCGAGGUUAAGGUGCCGGAAUGCACGCUCAUCAGACACCACAAAAAGUGUCAAUUCAUCCAGACAGCCGGACGGUGGCCAUGGAAGUCGGAAUCCGCUAAGGAGUGUGUAACAACUCACCGGCCGAAUGAAUUGGCCUUGAAAAUGGAUGGCGCUCAAGCGUGCUACCCAUACCUCGCCGCCAGGGUAGAAACGAUGCCCUGGCGAGUAGGCAGGCGUGGAGGUCCGUGACGAAGCC
Molecule: ribosomal RNA, 1317 nt
Filed under: Sticta sp.
Lineage: Eukaryota; Fungi; Ascomycota; Lecanoromycetes; Peltigerales; Lobariaceae
Description: eukaryotic LSU rRNA
Rfam family: Eukaryotic large subunit ribosomal RNA
Source: RNAcentral